AGAAUCAACGCUGGCGGCGUGCCUAACACAUGCAAGUCGAACGAGAAAGUGGAGCAAUCCAUGAGUAAAGUGGCGCACGGGUGAGUAACACGUGACUAACCUACCCUUGAGUGGGGAAUAACCUCGGGAAACCGGGCUAAUACCGCAUAACACCUACGGGUCAAAGGAGCAAUUCGCUUAAGGAGGGGUCGCGGCAGAUUAGUUAGUUGGCGGGGUAAUGGCCCACCAAGACGGUGAUCUGUAUCCGGCCUGAGAGGGCGCACGGACACACUGGAACUGAAACACGGUCCAGACUCCUACGGGAGGCAGCAGUGGGGAAUUUUGCGCAAUGGGGGAACCCUGACGCAGCAACGCCGCGUGGAGGAUGAAGUCCCUUGGGACGUAAACUCCUUUCGAUCGGGAUGAUUAUGACGGUACCGGAAGAAGAAGCCCGGCUAACUUCGUGCCAGCAGCCGC
This 456-nucleotide ribosomal RNA is filed under the name uncultured bacterium. RNAcentral describes it as "SSU rRNA". It matches the Rfam family "Bacterial small subunit ribosomal RNA", at positions 26 to 518 of the family's 1533-position model. The record is from RNAcentral.